This 247-nucleotide ribosomal RNA is filed under the name uncultured bacterium. Its description in RNAcentral is "partial 16S ribosomal RNA". It matches the Rfam family "Bacterial small subunit ribosomal RNA", at positions 85 to 334 of the family's 1533-position model. The record is from RNAcentral.
CCGAUGGCGACCGGCGCACGGUGGAGUAACACGUAUCCAACCUGCCGAUGACUCGGGGAUAGCCUUUCGAAAGAAAGAUUAAUACCCGAUGGCAUAGUUCUUCCGCAUGGUAGAACUAUUAAAGAAUUUCGGUCAUCGAUGGGAUGCGUUCCACUAGGUUGUUGGCGGGGUAACGGCCCACCAAGCCUUCGAUGGAUAGGGGUUCUGAGAGGAAGGUCCCCCACAUUGGAACUGAGACACGGUCCAA